GCCUCUGAUAGCUAAGUCGGUAGAGUAUGAGACUCUUAAUCUCAGCACCGUGGGUUUGAGCCCCAUGUUGGGCA
Molecule: non-coding RNA, 74 nt
Organism: Podarcis lilfordi (Lilford's wall lizard)
Lineage: Eukaryota; Metazoa; Chordata; Lepidosauria; Squamata; Lacertidae
Source: the annotation of a GenBank genome assembly